UUUCUCUCAAUCAAACAAACAAAAUGAUCGGCAUAUAUACUGUCUAAAUCUGAUUCUUUAAUGCAACAUUCUUAGAUUUAUGCACUUAUUCACAGUUAUUACCUCUUCUAAAAAUAAAAAAAAUAAAAAAAAUAAAUAUUGACAGUGGAUAGCAUUUUAAGUAAUUUAGCUUAUUUAUAGAGUUUCAUGAAGAGAUGGUUUCUUGAACAAAGUGGAAAUGUUUUUUGUUCUGUCUUGGCAGAUUCUAAUUCCAUGAUACUUGAUAAGCGAAAUUAGUUUGUAAUUGGUUCUUUCCGCCUAUGAAACUAGGAAAACAAGAAACAAAUUACAAUCGGAUGCCACUUUUUAAAAGGAUAUACAAUCAGCCUUUUAUUUUGCCGGUUUUAAAUCAGUUACCUACUUGCUUUGCAGGACUUUUGUGGGCACAAACUUAAAUCCUUUGUGGGAAAGAUUCCUGGUUCGAUCAGAAGGUAUUACUGCAGGAAUUAGUACAUUUUUCUCAAUGAGCUUCCAUUAUUUUUCUCAUUUUUGUCUUUCGCACACCCACAAACUUGAGUCCCUGAUCAUCUUUAAUAUUUUCUCCUGUUGGAAUCCUGAGCAUUUGGUAAAAUUAAUGAUAAUGAAGCCUUACAAUGGGUAAAUUCAACUCAGAAGGCAUAUAAUUAUUCACUUGGUUCGUAAAUUUCUUUGACGUUUAUAGCUUUGCUUGUCUGUAGAUGAUGCCAUACGUUGUCAACACACCUCAAGUCCAUUGGGUAAUGGUGCUAUUGUGGAGACAUCUGACAAGAAAAUACUAGUGUUGCAAAGAAGUAACAAUGUCGGGGAGUUUCCCGGACACUUUGUAUUCCCAGGAGGCCAUCCAGAGGUAUCAUAACUGAAACAAAAAUAGUUUGCGACCACAUUUUUAGCUGCAUUGUGAGAUUUCAUCGUUGCCUAUAUAUGCUUGCCACACAUUAUCUAGAUCAUUUCUAACUUUUUUUUCAUCCUUGUAGUAAUGAUAAGAAGGUUAUUCUAUUGCUUUAUCCUUUGGGUUUUCUCGACCUCUAAUUCCAUAAUGUUUGAUGAUUAACAGCCCCACGAAGUUGGAAUAAUAUCCCAUCACCAUAAAGACGUGACAGACUCCAAAGCUAUUAAUAACAAAGUUUCUCAGGAGAUGUUUGAGAGCAUUGUUCGUGAGGUAGUUGAAGAAAUCGGAGUACCUUCAGCUUCCCUUGUAAGUACAUCUGUAUGUUUGUUUCCUAAUUGUUCAUUACACAUUUUAUGCGUCUUUCCCGCUCACGAUGAGUUUUAUUUACUGUAUUGGUGAUGUGGAACAGAAGUGGUGGCUGCCCUAAAUUAAAGGGUGUUUAAGUCUGUUACUCUCUAGGGUUUUAGUAUUUUAGUAUCUGGUUUUAGUUAUUUGAUUUCCUACCUUUACGAGGAUUAAGAUUACUUCCAGUUUCAUUGGGAUUAGAUUUAGUUUCCUAAUAUCCCUUGUAAUUCCAAUAGUUGUAUGGGAUUAUUUUGUUGAGAUGACAAAAUUCUUGGUGAGAGGCCAAGAACGGGUGUGACGCCCCUGGAGCGAUUCUAGUUAUCUUUUAUGUUUGUUUUAGUUAAAGUUGAACUAUCUAAAUUAUGCUGUCUGCACCAAUCGGACUCUCUAGGUUUAAGGCAUUUUAUUAUCCAACGAUAAUAAACUUUUUCUUUUGAUACUACUUAGUAACUCCUCUCCUCUCUGACUAAAAAGUAUCUAAUGUUACUCAUUUGGCCAUAAUGCAGCAUGAGCAAGUUUUUAUCGGUCUAUCCCGCAGGGAGCUUAAUGUGAGACCAACUGCAUUUUUCUUCAUGAAAUGCAGUCUCAGCUCAAAGGAGAUUCCAAAACUGUAUUCUAGUGCCCAAGACAGCUUUGAAUCAACUCAGCUCUUUACAGUUCCAAUGGUAAGUUCAAACUUUUAUCGGACAGAGAUGCACCAUCAUGUAUGUAUUUUCUAAACAAUUGUUUGCAUUAGAACUCUUUCGUUUACUUAUUUGUUAAUAUUCAAUUCACGGUCAAUGAUGGUAGAAGAAUGGCAAGAGGUAAUUGUGCGGUAAUGUUGUUUGCGAGCUAUGGUGAUACUGUUUGAAACAUGGUUGAAUAGUGAUGCAAACUUAUGGGGACUUUGUGACGAGACACUAAUCUUCCUCAUUAACAGCAAAACAAGUUGAGAUGAAUAACAAUGCCUUGCUUUUUGUGAAGCAAAUUACAAUAGACCACUCAUGAAUCUCAACUUCCGUUUUGAGUUUCAAUGCAAAUCUCAUGAAAUUUUCUUUAUACCAGAUUGAAUUAGAGAACAUGGCGUCGAAAAUGCCAGGCUGCCAUGAAGGUGGAUUCGCGUUGUAUAAGAUGAUGGUUGAAGCCGUGAAGAAUGUUUGAUGGAAGAUCUGCUCAUAUCUCUCAGUCGUUAGUGUCUCGGCAGCUUUCAGUAACACUUCUAAGGCUCGGACUCCCUUUCUUUGUUAUUAGCGAUUCGGUACAAAAACAGAUAACCUUGCUUGUUGUACUCAGUUUCAUACAUAUGCUUGUAAAACAUGAUUUAUUUUUAAUCACAGUUAAUUUGAAUUACAGUCGCAGUUAAUUUGAAUUACAGUUACUUGUCAUCAACUUGUUAUCACCAAUAGUGGUAAACAUAUUUUACAAUCUGUGAUAUAUGGUUUUAUUUUAAUUGGUUAAAUUGCAGCAACGGUCCCUUUUCAUUUGGAUUUUCGCUUUCGUCCUUGUAGUUUUUUUGUUGCAUUUUGUAGUGAAACCGAAUGAAACCACGAGACGAACGUGCAACAAAGAAAUACUGCAAAAUCGAAAGUGAAAAUCCGAGCAAACUAUAGGAUGGAUAAUUCUUAUGAGGGAUUCAUGCCGAUAAUUUUUCCCGGUUACAAUUCGUGUUGGAUUUAAGUACAUUGGUAAAAGCUUCCGUCAGAUGAUCUGUGUUUUUACUGCGAUUUACCUCUGAGACUUUAGCAGCAAGGUAAAAACUAAAAAGUGCCCAUUUCUGGAGAGUAGGUGCCUAGGUGGAGUCCAUGAAGAAGGCUAGGCAAAGGGGUAAGAGUAUCUUGUCUUAUAAUUGCCCUAUCACUAUUUUUCCCACUUGACCAGAUGCAUUGUUUAUGAUCCAUUUUUCUGUUGCCUCUUCUCUUCUUUUCGCUUUAUGGGUUUGGGUGCAUUGCCAUUUGGUGUCAUUAUUAAUGAAACAAGGAUAUGUGGACAAAAAAUGUGCACGUUUCUAUUGACACAAGACGCUACCGUAGCAGUAUGCUCACGUCAUGUGUGGUAUACAUUGUAUAGGCUGCUGAUCUUUAUAAUUUAUUUUCUUUUCAUCCUUUCAAUUUUGGCAAUGUUUGUCUUGUAAUUUUGUUUGGUUUGUGAUCAAGUUCAACUAUACAUAACUGCAAGACUACGGAGACGUUUGAUAAUUAUUUCGUUUUUAAUUUUUAGUAUUUAAUUUUUACUUUUCUGAAAAAUGAAAACUUUGGUAAUUACUUUUAGUUUUCAAGUUUCAGAAAAAUAAAACCUUAAAGACAAAACUAGAAACUCAAGGCCAAGUUUUGAAAACUCAAGAAAGUGGUUUUCAUUUUUUGGUUUUGAAGUUUCGUUUUUUCUGAAAAACGAAAGUAGUUACCCAAUUUCAGAAUUCAAAUAAGUAAAAACAAAAUAAUUAUCAAGCGGUCUCAAAUAUUAUCAUAAUUAAAACAUGUAUCAAAAUAAGUAGAUGAAACGACUUGGAUAUAUUAACCGACACAUUCUAUUUAUCGGAGCUUAGAAAAAUUUUGCAACCUACACGUGUACAUGAACAAAAAUUGCAAUUGGGCUAAUAAUCGAUCCAUAUAUAAAAUUGCAAGGGGAACUUUAACGAAAAGUAUCUGGUACUGUUCACUUUAACAAAAAAUCACAUUUUUACACUAAAAAGUCAAUCAUGGUACUAUUCACUUUACCUUUUAUUUUGUCCUUAUCAUUAAAACUCAAAGUUUUCAAGCCCUUUUCAUUAAUUUUCCUAAUUGCAAGACCUAGAAGCUUUCCAAGUUGCACUGCUUUGACCGGAAAACUGGACACUUCAGUUUAGACCCACAGUAGUGUGUACGAAAAAAGUGCUGAUAGACAUAAAUGACAAUGAAAGCAAGCCGUAUUUGGUGAGUCAAUGAUGGCGAAAGCAAAAGACCAAGUCAAUACAAAUUUUAAUAAAAAUAUAAACCAUACGUUAUAUUACUAGAUAAGCAUAUGAUGUUUACGUGCAGCAUUUCAAGAAAUUUCACUGUAACACAAUAUCACGUAACAUCUUUAAUUUGUCUUGUAAUAUAAGUCAAAGAAAAUUGUAGCAAUCGUUUUUUAAUUUUAACUCAAUUGAAGCAAUAAUUCAUCAACUAAAAAUAUGUGAUAAUUGGUCCUUAAGUCAUGAAAACGUGCAGUUAUAAUCCAUUUCGUCAGGACCGUCAGAACUUCUGUCAAAAUGAGUCAUAUUAAAAUAUUCAUUGCUACAAUCGGAUUAAAUUUGAGGAACCAUUUAUUCAAUUGUGUUUAAGUUGAGGGAUUAUUUAUCUUAAUUGGGUGAAAGUUGAGAGACAAUUGCUAUAAUUUUCUUAUUUGAUUUUUCAUAUUUUCUCCUUGAUUUAGCCUCACGUACGUGGCACGUGACUCAUUUUAGCAGAAUUUUUAACGAAGUUGAAAAUAAAAAGACCAUAGUUGCAUGUUUUGAUGAGUUAAGUAAGAGACCAAUAAUCACAUCUUUUAAUUGAAAGAGUAUUGCUCUAAUUUGAUUAAAGUUAAGAAAACAUUACUACAUUUUCCUUUAUAAAUAAAUAAUAACAAUAUUUAUCAUGAGCGUUAAUUAUCAAUUAAAAAAUAUAUAUGAUGUAGCGAUGCACAGGCACACCGAAAAUUUUCUGUCUUUAUAUCUCCUCAAUGAGAAAGAAUGACAUCAACAUUUUUGGUGCACUAAUUAUUACACAGAUUCCCAAAUGGGCACCAAUUAGGGGUGAAGGCUGGACUGUUUGGACCAGCACGUGCAAAACACACGUGCGGAAAAUUAUUCUUCAUUGUUCUAUAUAAAAAAGGGAUGGGAUAUUCACACACCCAUUUUUAUUUCUCUCACACAUUUUUAAUUUUCAACCGUCCGAUCGGAUGAAUUGAAGAAGAUCAAAUGACAAAAAUUAACAAGAGGUGUGAAAGAAAUAAAAAGGGAUGUGUGGAUAGCACAUCCCAUAAAAAAUAAAACCACUUAUAGCGAGAAAUUUCGAAUACAAUCAGUUCAGAAAGCAUUUCAAGCCUCCGAGGGCAAGGAAUUAUUAUACGUUUGUGGUGCAGAACAUGCUUGUGAGUUAUAAGUGUUCAUUAAGGAAUAUCCAGAAAGACAUUUAGAGAAUCGGUCUGAUUCUAUCUCUGUUCGUUCCGUUUGACAAAAAGAAGGAUCCCAAAGAAUCGAUAUUUUUUUUUAGUUGUUGAAUCUUUUUUGAUUGAUCAAUGUGUGAUAUUCUGAAAACUAUAUUUUAGUUUUACUAAGUAGCUGAGGUGGUCUGUGAUUGGGUUUAGGGGAACAAACAAACACCCAAACAGUGCUUUUCCCUGCGUAUAAUUAUAACAUAAUCUAGCACAAGAUUACAUUUAUAUAAAAAUAUAUUGUAUUUUUUUUUCCUUUAAUUUUGGCCUUUGUGAUUUAAAUAAACAAUUAAUUGGUUAUGUAUUUACCACCAAUUAUGCAGCUUUCUGUGCUUCCUUCGAUACUAAGUACUUGUAUUUUUAUUUUCUUUUUCUUUUUAAAAAGGUGGAAAAUUAUGAUUUCUGCUGGCCAUCAGUGACUUGUAUAUUAAAGAGAUUCUGCUUCAUUUCUUCUUUAUUUUUGUAUCUCUAUGUUAUAAUUUCUUUGGUUAUGGAUCAUGAGUAGGAUUCUUUUCCCUCUUAUUCCUAUCUAUUUUCUUACCCUUCUCGCAUAUUUUCUUGCAUCAACAGUAUGGACAACAUGUCUGGAAUGGUGGAGGUGGAUCUAACCAAGAGCCUCACGUGUGCCUCCACCUUGGUCUGACAGAUUAUAGGUCUCUCUCUCUCUCAAUCAAACAAACAAAUGAUCGGCAUAUAUACUAUUGUCUAAAUCUGAUUCUUCAAUGCAACAUUUUUAGAUUUAUGCGCUUAUUCACAGUUAUUACCUCUUCUAAAAAUAAAAUAAAAUAAAAUAUUGACGGUGGAGCAUUUUAAGUAAUUUAGCUUAUUUAUACAGUUUCAUGAAGAGAUGGUUUCUUGAACAAAGUGGAAAUGUUUUUUAUUCUGUCUUGGCAGAUUCUAAUUCCAUGAUACUUGAUAAGCGAAAUUAGUUUGUAAUUGGUUCCUCCUAUGAAACUAGGAAAACAAGAAACAAAUUACAAUCGGAUGCCACUUUUUAAAAGGAUAUACAAUCAGCCUUUUAUUUUGCUGGUUUUAAAUCAGUUACCUACUUGCUUUGCAGGACUUUUGUGGGCACAAACUUAAAUCCCUUGUGGGAAAGAUUCCUGGUUAGAUCAGAAGGUAUUACUGCAGGAAUUAGUACAUUUUUAGCUGCAUUGUGAGAUUUCAUCGUUGCCUAUAUAUGCUUGCCACACAUUAUCUAGAUCAUUUCAAACUUUUUUUUUAUCCUUGUAAGUACGUGACAGACUCCAAAGCUAUUAACAACAAAGUUUCUCAGGAG
RNAcentral lists this long non-coding RNA (6662 nucleotides) under Malus domestica (apple). Its description in RNAcentral is "long non-coding RNA (MDOM_LNC010098)". The record is from RNAcentral. Lineage: Eukaryota; Viridiplantae; Streptophyta; Magnoliopsida; Rosales; Rosaceae.